This 1445-nucleotide ribosomal RNA is filed under the name uncultured bacterium. Its description in RNAcentral is "16S ribosomal RNA". It matches the Rfam family "Bacterial small subunit ribosomal RNA". The record is from RNAcentral.
GACGAACGCUGGCGGCGUGCUUAACACAUGCAAGUCGAACGGAAAGGCCCUGCUUUUGUGGGGUGCUCGAGUGGCGAACGGGUGAGUAACACGUGAGUAACCUGCCCUUGACUUUGGGAUAACUUCAGGAAACUGGGGCUAAUACCGGAUAGGAGCUCCUGCUGCAUGGUGGGGGUUGGAAAGUUUCGGCGGUUGGGGAUGGACUCGCGGCUUAUCAGCUUGUUGGUGGGGUAGUGGCUUACCAAGGCUUUGACGGGUAGCCGGCCUGAGAGGGUGACCAGCCACAUUGGGACUGAGAUACGGCCCAGACUCCUACGGGAGGCAGCAGUGGGGAAUAUUGCACAAUGGGCGGAAGCCUGAUGCAGCAACGCCGCGUGCGGGAUGACGGCCUUCGGGUUGUAAACCGCUUUCGCCUGUGACGAGGCGUGCGUGACGGUAAUGGGUAAAGAAGCACCGGCUAACUACGUGCCAGCAGCCGCGGUGAUACGUAGGGUGCGAGCGUUGUCCGGAUUUAUUGGGCGUAAAGGGCUCGUAGGUGGUUGAUCGCGUCGGAAGUGUAAUCUUGGGGCUUAACCCUGAGCGUGCUUUCGAUACGGGUUGACUUGAGGAAGGUAGGGGAGAAUGGAAUUCCUGGUGGAGCGGUGGAAUGCGCAGAUAUCAGGAGGAACACCAGUGGCGAAGGCGGUUCUCUGGGCCUUUCCUGACGCUGAGGAGCGAAAGCGUGGGGAGCGAACGGGCUUAGAUACCCUGGUAGUCCACGCUGUAAACGGUGGGUACUAGGUGUGGGGUCCAUUCCACGGGUUCCGUGCCGUAGCUAACGCUUUAAGUACCCUGCCUGGGGAGUACGGCCGCAAGGCUAAAACUCAAAGGAAUUGACGGGGCCCCGCACAAGCGGCGGAGCAUGCGGAUUAAUUCGAUGCAACGCGUAGAACCUUACCUGGGUUUGACAUGGAUCGGGAGUGCUCAGAGAUGGGUGUGCCUCUUUUUGGGGUCGGUUCACAGGUGGUGCAUGGCUGUCGUCAGCUCGUGUCGUGAGAUGUUGGGUUAAGUCCCGCAACGAGCGCCACCCUUGUUCACUGUUGCCAGCACGUUAUGGUGGGGACUCAGUGGAGACCGCCGGGGUCAACUCGGAGGAAGGUGGGGAUGACGUCAAGUCAUCAUGCCCCUUAUGUCCAGGGCUUCACGCAUGCUACAAUGGCUGGUACAGAGAGUGGCGAGCCUGUGAGGGUGAGCGAAUCUCGGAAAGCCGGUCUCAGUUCGGAUUGGGGUCUGCAACUCGACCUCAUGAAGUCGGAGUCGCUAGUAAUCGCAGAUCGGCAACGCUGCGGUGAAUACGUUCCCGGGGCUUGUACACACCGCCCGUCAAGUCAUGAAAGUUGGUAACACCCGAAGCCGGUGGCCUAACCGUUGUGGGGGAGCCGUCGAAGGUGGGACUGGUGAUUAGG